GUUGUGACCACGACAGCUUUGUCGACAGUCGCGCGUGAUUGCGGCCGAGCAGUGCGAACUUACAAUCGCUCCCGUUUCAAACAGUCGCGCGUGCCCCCUGGUCUUCGAUCGCUGAUUCACCACUUUAUACGCGCGAGAACGUUUCUCAACCCCUUUACGAUCCGAGCCGGCUUACGAACUAUUUCCAAUCCCUUUCUCUCAUCGAUACUUCAAUUCGCUUUGACCAAAAUAUAAUUUUUCGAGUAAAAAAAAGGCUUCCUUUUAAGAUUUAUCCGAGCGUUUUCCGCUCAGACACGUGUCCGCCAAAGGGAUAACGAGAUCUCUGCGGAGACACGCAGAUUACGCGAGUUUUCCUUGUGCUUCACGAUGACAACACUUUUGUCUAAAGUGGCAUCAGACAUUGGAGCGGUGUUAAGAUCUAAACCGAGGGAUUUAGUGGUGUUGAGACCUGGACAGUGGUCGCGAUGAGUCAGUGCUGAUGCUAUGACGGUUUCAAGCGAAAGGGAACUCGAUGAAGACUUUUGAUGUCGAGAGACCAGGCGCUUCACGUGGCGACAGACCGCUUCAAUGUGACGUGCAUCAGCGAUUUGUGCUGUAACGAGUAAAUAUCUUUCACGGAUUCUCAUCAUGAAGAAGUUGUAGACUAAUAGCUGUCCAGUGCCUGUUUUUUAACACUUUCUCAAACAAUGUACAAACAAUGUACGGAUACAGACUCAGAGGUCUAGAGAGAAGGUUCCUCUUAUUCCUCAGCCUAGGAAAGGAAAAGUUUAUUCUUUCAAUCGGAUAAUUGAUCGUCGACUAUUGGUCCUGACGAUCUGAAUAGAAGAUGAGGGAGGGAGACUGUGUUGGAUAAAGGAAGGAUCAGGAAAACAGAAUCCUGUUGAUAGAAUAAAUCAAUCGCUCUGUUAAUAAACAGGGAAGAGGACAUAGAUCGCGAAACAGAUGCCUGUUCAAGUGGAAGUGGAAGAGGAGGAGAAUGAUCCAAUGAUGGUGGAAAAUUUUACGAGUUCAAAGUGAUCAGCGCUGAAUGUUAAUUGGGUUUUAAAAAUUAUGAUCGAAAUUACGAGGGUUAUGCGAAUUAAAGAAUAAAAUUGUAAAUAUCGAUCGAAAGAUCGUAGCGUGAUAUUUUUCUCUUCUUUUAAAAAUCUUUAAUAAAUAAUCUAUUAAAUGUAAAAAAAAAUAUUUACCUCUCGUGGAUAUAAAUAAAAUUUUUAAAGAGAUAUAUAUAUAUAUAUAAUUAAAUAAAUUUAAAAUAUUCUUAACGCUUAAUUCUCAAAUUAUUAGAUUAAACGAUCUACUACUUUUUCCUCUUUAAAAAUUUUUCAUCGGUAUAUUCGAGUUUUCUCCGGAGGACCAAGGAAUUUCGCUUUUUUUACUUAUCACGAUUUUAAAACGUUUUUACUAGCAACACUUCGAAACGAGAGCAAACGUAGCAACGGUUAGAUUAGAGCUGGGAUUCACGAUAUUAUCGAGAGUGGAGAGUAGUAGGAAAAACUUCGAGUCCAACACAUUGACAGAAAAAUUUUAAAUUUUUCUAAAAACUCCUAUUAACCAUAGAAUUUAACUUGAUCGGUCAAUUUAUCUUAAUUUCUCGCCGCUUGGGGCCAAAAUAAUAUAGAUAGAAGCUAAGAACGAGGAAUAUUGUUACUCUCAUCGGUAGAAAUUAAAUUUGUGCUAUUAAAAACGAAAAUAAGAAACAUCGAACGAAGAAAGUGACGGUAGUCAAGAUAAUACGGCGCUUGAAUGCAAAUCGGAGGAUCUUCGGUUCGAAUCUCAAAAGAGAUAAAAAAUAUUUUUUAAUGAAAAAACUUACUUCGAAUGUGAUUUUUAAGUUAAUAGUGACGAAAUGAAUAUCAAAAAUUGAAAAAAAAUACUAAAUUUGAUAAAAAAAGAAAUUUCAAAAGUGUUAAUAGAUGAGAUAGAAAGAAAUUACAAAGGGAAAAGUGAUGAAAAUAAAGAAAAUGAAAAAUUCAAAAAGUGAAAUAAAAAGAUGAAAACAUAUCAAUAAAAUGUAUUUGUGGAAAUCGAUUUCUAAAAUUGAAAAUAAUUAGAAAAAUAUUUCUUAUAAAAUUAGAAAGAGAAAAACCACAAGAG
Molecule: long non-coding RNA, 2094 nt
Organism: Apis cerana (Asiatic honeybee)
Lineage: Eukaryota; Metazoa; Arthropoda; Insecta; Hymenoptera; Apidae
Source: RefSeq, a predicted model, not a curated record